Molecule: long non-coding RNA, 470 nt
Organism: Pseudoliparis swirei
Lineage: Eukaryota; Metazoa; Chordata; Actinopteri; Perciformes; Liparidae
Exons: 3
Source: RefSeq, a predicted model, not a curated record
GGACACAUCCCGUGUCCAGCUGUUCAUCUCUCUAGUGCAGACACUAUAGAGAUGUUUGGACUGCAGUAUAAUGAGCAUGGUUGCCCCCAGUUCCUGUGGACUGGGACCAGCACAGGACCAAGACUGCCCGACCUCCUCCAGAGCAGUGCAUCCACUGCACAGUCAUCGUAAUGGACGUGGCACUAAGGAGGAUUGUCCAGCCGCAGAUGACGCUGAAGAACCGUUACAAGCCGCUAACACCAGUCUGCUUCAGCAGCUUGGUUGAAAUGGAGAUUGGAUGAUGCACUGUGCCCAACUAAUCAUACACGUGAUGCCUUGAGAGGUCGGGGUCAGAUUGUGAGUACUACUGUUUUCCUGAUCCGAUGUGAGGUCAAAGGUCAGGGAUGUCUAUGUGUCCAGAUUGUAAUGCACUCCGAGACAAAUUUGUAAAUUGUGAAAAUGGGCUAUACAAAUAAACUGAAUUGAAUUGA